RNAcentral lists this ribosomal RNA (760 nucleotides) under fungal endophyte. RNAcentral's name for it is "eukaryotic LSU rRNA". The stretch from base 506 to 760 matches the Rfam family "Eukaryotic large subunit ribosomal RNA", at positions 1 to 258 of the family's 3401-position model. The record is from RNAcentral. Lineage: Eukaryota; Fungi.
CGGAGGGAUCAUUAUCGAGUUACCGCUCCUUAUAACCCUUUGUGAACAUACCCCAAACGUUGCCUCGGCGGGCAGCCGGAGCCCAGCUCCGGCGCCCGGAGCCGCCGUCUCGGCGCGCCCCACCCGCCGGCGGACCACUAAACUCUAUUUAAACGACGUCUCUUCUGAGUGGCACAAGCAAAUAAUCAAAACUUUUAACAACGGAUCUCUUGGUUCUGGCAUCGAUGAAGAACGCAGCGAAAUGCGAUAAGUAAUGUGAAUUGCAGAAUUCAGUGAAUCAUCGAAUCUUUGAACGCACAUUGCGCCCGCCAGCAUUCUGGCGGGCAUGCCUGUUCGAGCGUCAUUUCAACCCUCAAGCACCGCUUGGCGUUGGGGCCCUACGGCUUCCGUAGGCCCCGAAAUACAGUGGCGGACCCUCCCGGAGCCUCCUUUGCGUAGUAACAUACCACCUCGCACUGGGAUCCGGAGGGACUCCUGCCGUAAAACCCCCCAAUUUUCCAAAGGUUGACCUCGGAUCAGGUAGGAAUACCCGCUGAACUUAAGCAUAUCAAUAAGCGGAGGAAAAGAAACCAACAGGGAUUGCCUCAGUAACGGCGAGUGAAGCGGCAACAGCUCAAAUUUGAAAUCUGGCCCCCAGGGUCCGAGUUGUAAUUUGCAGAGGAUGCUUUUGGCGCGGUGCCUUCCGAGUUCCCUGGAACGGGACGCCAUAGAGGGUGAGAGCCCCGUACGGUUGGACACCAAGCCUGUGUAAAGCUCCUUC